RNAcentral lists this long non-coding RNA (289 nucleotides) under Mytilus galloprovincialis (Mediterranean mussel). The record is from RNAcentral. Lineage: Eukaryota; Metazoa; Mollusca; Bivalvia; Mytilida; Mytilidae.
CUUCUGUGCACGAUUUUGUCAUUUUUAAUGCAAAUAUAUCGUAUAAUCGUUAUUUUUUUCUCUCUCUCUCUCUGUGUCUGUUAAGAUGUGAAAAUAUGGCGGCUAAUUAUUUGUCGUGUUUUGAAGCCGAAGUUUACCGAUUGUCACCUUAUAGUAAGCAAUCAACAAAAAGCAUGGAUAUUGAGCACGUGUAUAACAUGUACAAUCAGAUAAUAGUUUAUUUCAAUGAGAGAUCCAUGCGUAUUGCGAUCACCGGAUUUUUAUGAGACGAGUCACGCUAAGGUCACUU